UAUCGAAGUCAUUAAUCAAAAGAUUCAUUCCAUUAGCGACCCCAGAUUUUCUCCGGUGUAAGAAUCAAAUGUUGCUUCGUUCAAUUCUUUCAAGUUUGCUGAAAAAUGAAGGCUUCCCCAGUAUCUGGGUUUGUAGAAAUGGAGUAACCACUCUCGCAAGCGCAGAAAACUCAUUUUCUCCAUCCGUUUCGGGAGGGGAAACGCUACGAAAAGGGUAUGUUUUAUCCUACCUUCUAAAUUCAUGUGGAUUGUCACCGGAAAAGGCGAUUUCCGCUUCUAAAUUUGUUCAAUUUGACGCCCCUGAUAAACCCAUCGCUGUUCUCAAAUUCCUCGAAAAACAAGGGUUUACUAGAUACCAAAUCGCCAAUUUAGUCGCAAAAUUUCCUGCGGUUUUAGUAUACGAUCCUCAAAUGUCCCUCUCUCCCAAGUUCGAAUUUCUGCGCUCCACCGGAAUUUCUGAGCUGGAAAUUCCCACCAUUGUAUCGAGAUACCCCGACUUACUAACCAGAUCGUUCAAACGUAGAGUAGCACCUGUUUAUAACUACAUUAAGGGCAUAAUUGGUGCUGCUAAUGCUAAUACUCUUCUAAGGAGAGGGUCUUGGAUUUUUAAUCUUGAUAUUGAGAGUAGGAUUGUACCAAAAUACUCGUGCAUAUUUUGGAGAGAGAAGCUGUUUUUGUUGUUUGUAGCUUGGAACUGAUUAGUUUGGAUGUUGCUACAUAUUCAGCAUGAAUAUAAUUUAUACAAAAAUUCAUGUAUCAGGAUGCUGACUUAAAGAGUGAAUUGGUUCAAAUGAAACACAUAGUGUGGGUAAUACAAACUUAAAUAUGGUUUAGCUGCUGAUUAUAAUUGAGAAGAUAGUACAUUAUUCUACCAAUCUCCACGAGCAAAAUCCUCUGCAAAUGGAUUGCGGGAAUCCUACACAUAUCACAAUUUUGCAAGGCGAUUGUUGAACGUUGGGUCCAUGCAUACAACAACCUGCGAUAGUUAGAAACCAUCAGUAAUCAAUCUGGUAGUUUUGUGAAUGUUUUGACGCGUAUUUUAUUAGCUUGCCGACACUUUGACCAGAGUGAAGAUAGUUAACUGCAUCAGCAACGGAAUGAACUCCCAAGAAUGGUUUAGGGUCGAUAAUGACCUGAUAAAGCAGAAACGAAAAAAAAGGUUGCAGAUUAAUGGAUCUAAUCAAGUAUGCAUUAACAAGAGCUACCUUCAACUUUCUGGAGGUGUACAGAUCCAUUAGCUUAUCUAGAUGUUCUUGCCAAAAAUGUGUAUAUUGUACUAGGAAAAAACCAGCCUAGACAUUUGGAGUCACCAUUAAAACACAUUGAAAAGCCACUUCAAGUCUGCAACUAUCCAAUAUGAAAAUGCAUAGGACUUACCACAGUCUGGCUCUUUGCCAGAAUCUUUUCGCACAGUAGUCAGUUGAAGAUGUCUGCAUAAGAACAUGCUCGUUGUCACGAUGAAGCUUUGGUAGACGAAAUCAUCCGUGGAGAAAUCAGGUAACAGCAGAAUCACAAUCAUUGAUUACUGAUAAGCAUUCAAAUUUGAGUGAAAAUUACAGAAUACCAACAUAUGCUAAGCCUAUUACAAUUUUAUUUAUGGUGAUGAUCUUAUUCAUGUUUCUUGAUUCAUUGUGCCUCAGCAGCGAGCGAAGUCUGCUUCAACAACUCGGAAACUCUCGCGGCCAAGCUCUGCCUCGCAGUAGGCGACACUCCUUGCUUCCCGAUGAUGGACUCGAGAAUCGCCUCUGCUAGCAGUUUGUUCUCUAUCACAGCUUUGCCUUGCUCUGGAAUGGAACCAUCUUUGGAGAAGGCAAUCUGCAGGACAAAACUCUGUUAAAAAUCGGACGUUGAGUCGAACAACAACGGUGGGAAAUGGUUACCGUGAGUGAGCCAGCAGGUGAUUGAGUGAAGAGGAUGGAUGCCCCAGGUGAGAAGCUUUCAUCCUUGAAGACUUGAAGAAAUUCCUCUACUGCUUUGCCCUCUGCGUCUGUGUAUUUCCCAACUGCUUUCCAGUAAGCAGUGCAGUUCUCUGCAACUUUCUCCGAGUAUUGCUGCCCCGUUAGCGGCAGAAUCAUCGUCACUUUCGUCAGUUUCUCAAACGGACCUAACAAAAUUUGUGAUUUUUCAUCAAGUAGUGUUAAAAAUGGUGGCAAACAAUUGCUAGGGCUGUUGCCAUUACCGGCGAUGAUUUCGCGAAUGAAGUCGGCGGAAUCGGCCAGUUCAUCGAUGGUUUUGGCGCUCCACUUGGGCGCGAGCGCGGGGAUGGCGGUGCCCUCCAUGUAGAUGGCGAUGGCGGUGAAUUUGACGAAGUUCCCUUGGAUCUCCAUCCCUCGCACCCCUGCGCACAUUAGCCACGACCGCCGCUCGGAACAAUGAAAACGUGUGAUCGUAAGAUGUGAGAGGGGACUAACCUGCGCCGCCGAGGAAUAACGUCUUGUCGGAGCCCCGUGGCUUCGCUGUGGGUGGGAAUACCACGGAUUCCACUUGGAGCUGUGUGACGCUUGGCGUUGCAGUCAUUUUCUCGCAGUCGGAGUAUGUUGCAGAGUUGAAGGUGAAGGUGAAGAUGAAGGUGGUUAACAAUGGGGUGUAGGGAGCUGAGGUUAGGUUAGUAACGUCACGCUAGGCGAUAGCCACCACGAGUUUUACCUACCAGCCCUGUUCAUUCAUGAAUACUCAUUCAACCAAUUAAAUACUUUGGUGGAAAUCAGCAUUUGUUCAAAUAUCAGAAAGAUUUGAUUCUACAUCAUAAUUAUUCACUGGUACCACUAAUUUUCCAGUUCGGAUCCUCUGUCCCCAUUUUCUGUGCCACUUCAUGUCCCAUCUACAAUAUUACACCGUUUUGGAUUUAAUUUGUUUUCCUUUUCUUUUGCUAACAUUUAAUUAAAUGAUUCGCACCUAUCGGCUCGGCUGGAUGAAGCCAAUAAUCUUCUUCUUCCUCUUUCCUUCUCCAACUAAAUCUACUCAAUUCUCUUUUGGAAAAUUUCUCUCUCCACCGAAAAAUAAGGAUUUAGCUUUGGAUUUCUUCAAGGUAAACUGUUAUUUGCGCCAAUGAAUUGACGGGAUUUAUCCAUGGAUUUCUUUUAUUUUCUAUAGUUCUUCGUGAAUUCUUAAUUAACAGAGUCUGAUGGUCAUUGUCGUUUGAAGAACGAAGUGUUGUGAUUGGCAGAAUUUUUUGUUGUAAUUUUCCUGCCCCAAGUCAUGGAUUCCUUUUCUAUUUUUAUUUUUAUUUUUUUUGUGCUAUUGUGAUUCUUGAUUGAGUGAGAAUUAUUGUGGUGUUCCUGGAAAUUCCUUGUUUGUUAUUGGAGUGAAAAUUAUAAUGGCUGCCAAAGUAUGUAAAUUUAUCGAACAGUUGGUAGACAUGUGAUAACCGACCGUUUUGAUAUUGACGGAUGCUUGAGGAGUGCAACGUCUCAGCUGAAAAAGUACAUAAGAAUAAUAAACACAAACUAGAUUCUUUCAUGAUUUCGCCUUUUUUUUCUUCAUGUUUUUUUCGAAUGAAAUUAAUUUUUGUAUAUGAUUUAGAUGGACAUGUUUCUUCUUUUAUGUGAUACUACAUUUGGAUUGAUCAAAUUAAUUUUUGUUAUAUAUAUCAUCUGUUAUUUUAGCUGAAAAAUAAAGGAAGCAAAAGAGAAGGAAAGACAUGGAUAUGUUCAAGGCUGUUGAGGCUUACCUUCACACAAGUCUGAUGCUUGAAAGCUCAAUACGUAAAGCUAUAUAUAUUGUUGUAUCUUGAUUUGUUGUUCAUUUUAAGUUUAGCAUUUAGCUUUUAGGGUGUGAGUUGUAAGUAGUUGUGAUUUUCUAUUCAAAUAAAAAAGUGUUUCUUAAUUUGUAUCUUGCUGGUCUUGUGUGCUGGCGUGCUCAAAGCAUAAUAAUUUCAUUAUGAU
RNAcentral lists this long non-coding RNA (3884 nucleotides) under Salvia miltiorrhiza (redroot sage). Its description in RNAcentral is "long non-coding RNA (SMIL_LNC010404)". Lineage: Eukaryota; Viridiplantae; Streptophyta; Magnoliopsida; Lamiales; Lamiaceae. The record is from RNAcentral.